GACGAACGCUGGCGGCGUGCUAAUACAUGCAAGUAGGACGCACAGUUUAUACCGUAGCUUGCUACACCAUAGACUGUGAGUUGCGAACGGGUGAGUAACGCGUAGGUAACCUGCCUAUUAGAGGGGGAUAACUAUUGGAAACGAUAGCUAAUACCGCAUAACAGUAUGUAACACAUGUUAGAUGCUUGAAAGAUGCAAUUGCAUCGCUAGUAGAUGGACCUGCGUUGUAUUAGCUAGUAGGUAGGGUAAAGGCCUACCUAGGCAACGAUACAUAGCCGACCUGAGAGGGUGAUCGGCCACACUGGGACUGAGACACGGCCCAGACUCCUACGGGAGGCAGCAGUAGGGAAUCUUCGGCAAUGGGGGGAACCCUGA
RNAcentral lists this ribosomal RNA (375 nucleotides) under Streptococcus anginosus. RNAcentral's name for it is "bacterial SSU rRNA". It matches the Rfam family "Bacterial small subunit ribosomal RNA", at positions 28 to 386 of the family's 1533-position model. The record is from RNAcentral. Lineage: Bacteria; Bacillati; Bacillota; Bacilli; Lactobacillales; Streptococcaceae.